This 497-nucleotide ribosomal RNA is filed under the name uncultured bacterium. RNAcentral describes it as "partial 16S ribosomal RNA". It matches the Rfam family "Bacterial small subunit ribosomal RNA", at positions 28 to 507 of the family's 1533-position model. The record is from RNAcentral.
GAUGAACGCUGGCGGCGUGCCUAAUACAUGCAAGUCGAGCGAACAGAUGAGGAGCUUGCUCCUCUGACGUUAGCGGCGGACGGGUGAGUAACACGUGGAUAACCUACCUAUAAGACUGGGAUAACUUCGGGAAACCGGAGCUAAUACCGGAUAAUAUAUUGAACCGCAUGGUUCAAUAGUGAAAGACGGUUUUGCUGUCACUUAUAGAUGGAUCCGCGCCGCAUUAGCUAGUUGGUAAGGUAACGGCUUACCAAGGCAACGAUGCGUAGCCGACCUGAGAGGGUGAUCGGCCACACUGGAACUGAGACACGGUCCAGACUCCUACGGGAGGCAGCAGUAGGGAAUCUUCCGCAAUGGGCGAAAGCCUGACGGAGCAACGCCGCGUGAGUGAUGAAGGUCCUCAGAUCGUAAAACUCCGUUAUUAGGGAAGAACAAAUGUGUAAGUAACUAUGCACGUCUUGACGGUACCUAAUCAGAAAGCCACGGCUAACUACGUG